This 31-nucleotide non-coding RNA is filed under the name Rattus norvegicus (Norway rat). The record is from RNAcentral. Lineage: Eukaryota; Metazoa; Chordata; Mammalia; Rodentia; Muridae.
UGCUGGUUGAGCUGGGCAGAAACAGUCUCUC